UACGUAGGGUGCGAGCGUUGUCCGGAUUUAUUGGGCGUAAAGGGCUCGUAGGCGGCGUGUCGCGUCGGGAGUGAAAGCCCGUUGCUUAACGGCGGGUUGGCUUUCGGUACGGGCAUGCUGGAGUGCGGCAGGGGAGACUGGAAUUCCUGGUGUAGCGGUGAAAUGCGCAGAUAUCAGGAGGAACACCAAUGGCGAAGGCAGCUCGCUGGAACGGUACUGACGCUGAGGCGCGAAAGCGUGGGGAGCGAACAGG
Molecule: ribosomal RNA, 253 nt
Filed under: uncultured bacterium
Lineage: Bacteria
Description: partial 16S ribosomal RNA
Rfam family: Bacterial small subunit ribosomal RNA
Source: RNAcentral